UAGGGAAUCUUCGGCAAUGGGGGCAACCCUGACCGAGCAACGCCGCGUGAGUGAAGAAGGUUUUCGGAUCGUAAAGCUCUGUUGUAAGUCAAGAACGAGUGUGAGAGUGGAAAGUUCACACUGUGACGGUAGCUUACCAGAAAGGGACGGCUAACUACGUGCCAGCAGCCGCGGUAAUACGUAGGUCCCGAGCGUUGUCCGGAUUUAUUGGGCGUAAAGCGAGCGCAGGCGGUUUGAUAAGUCUGAAGUUAAAGGCUGUGGCUCAACCAUAGUUCGCUUUGGAAACUGUCAAACUUGAGUGCAGAAGGGGAGAGUGGAAUCCCAUGUGUAGCGGUGAAAUGCGUAGAUAUAUGGAGGAACACCGGUGGCGAAAGCGGCUCUCUGGUCUGUAACUGACGCUGAGGCUCGAAAGCGUGGGGAGCGAACAGGAUUAGAUACCCUGGUAGUCCACGCCGUAACGAUGAGUGCUAGGUGUUGGAUCCUUUCCGGGAUUCAGUGCCGCAGCUAACGCAUUAAGCACUCCGCCUGGGGAGUACGACCGCAAGGUU
This 548-nucleotide ribosomal RNA is filed under the name uncultured bacterium. Its description in RNAcentral is "bacterial SSU rRNA". It matches the Rfam family "Bacterial small subunit ribosomal RNA", at positions 355 to 895 of the family's 1533-position model. The record is from RNAcentral.